UAGGGAAUCUUCCACAAUGGACGCAAGUCUGAUGGAGCAACGCCGCGUGAGUGAAGAAGGCUUUCGGGUCGUAAAACUCUGUUGUUGGAGAAGAAUGGUCGGCAGAGUAACUGUUGUCGGCGUGACGGUAUCCAACCAGAAAGCCACGGCUAACUACGUGCCAGCAGCCGCGGUAAUACGUAGGUGGCAAGCGUUAUCCGGAUUUAUUGGGCGUAAAGCGAGCGCAGGCGGUUUUUUAAGUCUGAUGUGAAAGCCCUCGGCUUAACCGAGGAAGCGCAUCGGAAACUGGGAAACUUGAGUGCAGAAGAGGACAGUGGAACUCCAUGUGUAGCGGUGAAAUGCGUAGAUAUAUGGAAGAACACCAGUGGCGAAGGCGGCUGUCUGGUCUGUAACUGACGCUGAGGCUCGAAAGCAUGGGUAGCGAACAGGAUUAGAUACCCUGGUAGUCCAUGCCGUAAACGAUGAAUGCUAGGUGUUGGAGGGUUUCCGCC
RNAcentral lists this ribosomal RNA (491 nucleotides) under uncultured bacterium. RNAcentral describes it as "partial 16S ribosomal RNA". It matches the Rfam family "Bacterial small subunit ribosomal RNA", at positions 355 to 838 of the family's 1533-position model. The record is from RNAcentral.